Molecule: ribosomal RNA, 254 nt
Filed under: uncultured bacterium
Lineage: Bacteria
Description: partial 16S ribosomal RNA
Rfam family: Bacterial small subunit ribosomal RNA
Source: RNAcentral
UACGGAGGGUGCAAGCGUUAUCCGGAAUCACUGGGUUUAAAGGGUGCGUAGGCGGUGGUGUAAGUCAGUUGUGAAAUGCCCCGGCUUAACCGGCGGAAGUGUGAUUGAUACUGCAUCUCUUGAAUCAGGAUGAGGCAGGCGGAAUGUGGCAUGUAAAGGUGAAAUGCUUAGAUAUGCCAUAGAACACCAAUUGCGAAGGCAGCUUGCUGGGUCUGAAUUGACGCUGAGGCUCGAAAGCGUGGGGAGCGAACAGG